This is a long non-coding RNA of Perca flavescens (yellow perch), 241 nucleotides long. RefSeq lists it as uncharacterized. Lineage: Eukaryota; Metazoa; Chordata; Actinopteri; Perciformes; Percidae. The record is from RefSeq and is a predicted model, not a curated record. The transcript has 3 exons.
CCGGAAAUGUAGUAGGCAACAAAUUUUCAAAUAUGACUCCAUAACAGGAACAAGGAUAAAUGAGGGGCAAGCAGAAGUAAGGGUGAAAUGGUUACCUUGCUCUGCAUGUGGAAAAAUCUGGGAGGCGACAUGGGAGCCGGCCUGCCAGUUCCCACCAGGUGCCAACCAUGUGUGACGUCACCCAUUGGUCUGUGGAGAUCUGCUAUGAGUCGUCAAGUUUGCCGUUACGGGCGCAGCCAUC